AUGGCGAAGCGUUCUAUCCCCUUGCUCAUGGCAAUGGUCUCCAUCCUUCUCACAGCCAUAGCCACCACCCGGGCCGCGAGCCUUGCCCCAGCAGCCGAUGACCGGAACUCAAGAAACAUGCCAACCGCGUAUGAAAUGCUAGGGCGGUAUGGCUUCCCACCUGGCAUCCUCCCGGGAGGCGUGCAGGGCUACGAGCUCCGGCCAGAUGGUUCCUUUGAGGUACACCUCUCUAACGACUGCAAAGUCCGCAUCGCCGGGCAUAACAUCCAGUACAGUAGCCGGAUCGCCGGGAAGAUCCAGAACGGCUUGAUCACGGGCCUUGAGGGCGUGAAGGUGAAGAUCUUUAUUCCGUUUAUCCGCGUUCGGGGCAUCCGCCGCAACGGCAACGAUCUCAGAAUCCACGCCGGGAAGAUAACCAAGUCAUUCUCGGCCAACGAUUUCUGCUUCUCCCCACGGUGCAACUGA
This 465-nucleotide ribosomal RNA is filed under the name Triticum aestivum (bread wheat). Its description in RNAcentral is "partial small subunit ribosomal RNA". Lineage: Eukaryota; Viridiplantae; Streptophyta; Magnoliopsida; Poales; Poaceae. The record is from RNAcentral.